This 254-nucleotide ribosomal RNA is filed under the name uncultured bacterium. Its description in RNAcentral is "partial 16S ribosomal RNA". It matches the Rfam family "Bacterial small subunit ribosomal RNA", at positions 79 to 334 of the family's 1533-position model. The record is from RNAcentral.
CUUUCUUUGCUGGCGACCGGCGCACGGGUGAGUAACACGUAUCCAACCUGCCCUUUACUCGGGGAUAGCCCUUCGAAAGAAAGAUUAAUACCCGAUAGCAUAAUGAUUCCGCAUGGUUUCAUUAUUAAAGGAUUCCGGUAAAGGAUGGGGAUGCGUUCCAUUAGGUUGUUGGUGAGGUAACGGCCCACCAAGCCUUCGAUGGAUAGGGGUUCUGAGAGGAAGGUCCCCCACAUUGGAACUGAGACACGGUCCAA